GAUGAACGCUGGCGGCGUGCUUAACACAUGCAAGUCGAACGGGAAACCUUUUAUUGAAGCUUCGGCAGAUUUAGCUGGUUUCUAGUGGCGGACGGGUGAGUAACGCGUGGGUAACCUGCCUUAUACAGGGGGAUAACAACCAGAAAUGGUUGCUAAUACCGCAUAACCGCACAGGACCGCAUGGUCCGGUGUGAAAAACUCCGGUGGUAUAAGAUGGACCCGCGUUGGAUUAGCUAGUUGGCAGGGUAACGGCCUACCAAGGCGAGGAUCCAUAGCCGGCCUGAGAGGGUGAACCGCCACAUUGGGACUGAGACACGGCCCGGACUCCUACGGGAGGCAGCAGUGGGGAAUAGUGCACAAUGGGGGAAACCCUGAUGCAGCGACGCCGCGUGAAGGAAGAAGUAUCUCGGUAUGUAAACUUCUAUCAGCAGGGAAGAUAGUGACGGUACCUGACUAAGAAGCCCCGGCUAACUACGUG
Molecule: ribosomal RNA, 478 nt
Filed under: uncultured bacterium
Lineage: Bacteria
Description: partial 16S ribosomal RNA
Rfam family: Bacterial small subunit ribosomal RNA
Source: RNAcentral